Molecule: ribosomal RNA, 253 nt
Filed under: uncultured bacterium
Lineage: Bacteria
Description: partial 16S ribosomal RNA
Rfam family: Bacterial small subunit ribosomal RNA
Source: RNAcentral
UACGUAGGGUGCAAGCGUUGUCCGGAAUUAUUGGGCGUAAAGGGCUCGUAGGCGGUUUGUCGCGUCGGGAGUGAAGACAUCUGGCUUAACUGGGUGCUUGCUUUCGAUACGGGCAGACUGGAGGUAUGCAGGGGAGAACGGAAUUCCUGGUGUAGCGGUGAAAUGCGCAGAUAUCAGGAGGAACACCGGUGGCGAAGGCGGUUCUCUGGGCAUUACCUGACGCUGAGGAGCGAAAGUGUGGGGAGCGAACAGG